Molecule: small nucleolar RNA, 95 nt
Organism: Betta splendens (Siamese fighting fish)
Lineage: Eukaryota; Metazoa; Chordata; Actinopteri; Anabantiformes; Osphronemidae
Product: small nucleolar SNORD12/SNORD106
Source: Ensembl
AUUGUUGUGGUUGAUGAUGUGCUCUCUUUCCCCGACUUAUCGACAGUGGUGAAACAGAUGUUCAUGUAAAGCCAAUUAUGUUCUGAAACCACAAU